Dama dama (fallow deer) is the source of this 508-nucleotide long non-coding RNA. RefSeq lists it as uncharacterized. Lineage: Eukaryota; Metazoa; Chordata; Mammalia; Artiodactyla; Cervidae. The record is from RefSeq and is a predicted model, not a curated record. The transcript has 3 exons.
AACCCACUCCAGUAUUCUUGCCUGGAGAAUUCCACGGACAGCAGAGCCUGGCGGGCUACAGUCCAUGGGGUCACAAAGAAUUGUACACGACUGAGUGAUUAACACUACCACCACAUCUACCAUAGAACAUACAUAACAUUCCUAACAGAAUCCGUGAAGCCCGAUUCCAGGUGAGAGAGACAGUAUACAGGUCAGCUUGCACACAGCCUCGCUCUCCAUUCCCGGGGCCACUCGGCUCAGUCACUGGAGGCAGUGCUCCGGGUGCUCCGACCGCCGGAUAAAGAAACCAGGGGUGUCUUCCCACAGGGGCAGUUGUUGUGGACGGAAGCUCCAGACCACAUUUUGGAAGAUCUGAGCACCUUCCCUCUGGGAAAUCUUCAGUGACUCCACCCCAGAGAGACCUGGAGCUCCCCAGUCACUGCAGGAGCUGCCCACCUGAGACCUCUCUGUUGCCAGGGAAGUCUUCCUUCCCAGUGGUCCCUGCAGGACCCAGGCCACCCAUUUUCUG